Small nuclear RNA from Sorex araneus (European shrew), 107 nucleotides. The record is from RefSeq and is a predicted model, not a curated record. NCBI's taxonomy places the organism in Eukaryota, Metazoa, Chordata, Mammalia, Eulipotyphla, Soricidae.
GUGCUGGCUUUGGCAGCACAUAUACUAAAAUUAGAAUGAUACCAAGAAGAGUAGUAUGGCCUGUGCUCAAGGAUGGCAUGAAAAUUAAUGUAGUGUUCUAUAUUUAA